Molecule: long non-coding RNA, 761 nt
Organism: Bactrocera dorsalis (oriental fruit fly)
Lineage: Eukaryota; Metazoa; Arthropoda; Insecta; Diptera; Tephritidae
Exons: 2
Source: RefSeq, a predicted model, not a curated record
GCAAGAGUAAAUUCGUAACAAUAUAUCACUAGAUUCUGCAAUGCGUGCUCUCGUGCCCUUGUAUAUUUCGGUAUAGUAUUUUUGCAAUCUGCAAUCUUGCAAGAGCAAGCGAAUACCCUUAUGGUCUAUCUCAAGUGGAUUGUAGAUAUACUGCUUAGAAUGUAAGAUGAAUAUUUGUAUUCAGGCUUAAGAAAAAUAUUGUAUUAAAGAAGAGAAAAUAAAAUAAAACGAGGCAGUUGCCCGUAGUUGCCCACGAAACAAAACCGAAUUAUUAAUUUGCACAGGGCAAAAGUUUUACAAGGCCAAGAGUAUUUCAUUUUCAUUUUCCCCAUAUGGUAUUUCAUUUUCAAACCUAAAAUUUGGUGUGAACACCAGGCUAUACACGAUACAACAGUAUGCCAUACUUCACCUGUAGUACACAAGAAUGAUAGAAUACAAGAUUACGACACUAGUUUACCGUUAGUUUUUUUCGGUUUAGCUCUUGACAAUUCUACAAAAACAAAUACAUUGUGCAACAAUUUCGUGACGUCACACUUGUGCGUUGAGAAGAACAAGCAUAGAAAUGCAUACAAAUUGAAAAAUUUCAGUGGAAUGUUUAGAAUAUUGUUGCGAGAAAAGAUAUAUGUAAGUAGUUUUAGGCACAUCCACAAUAAAUAGAGUAGCAUGUGUGGAAAUUGUUCAAAUGAAGAAAACCAGUGAAAGUGUACUGUUGUAUUUAUUUAAAUUUCUAAGCAUAAAUAUAUUAAUUUUCUAAAAUGAAA